RNAcentral lists this ribosomal RNA (253 nucleotides) under uncultured bacterium. RNAcentral describes it as "partial 16S ribosomal RNA". It matches the Rfam family "Bacterial small subunit ribosomal RNA", at positions 524 to 776 of the family's 1533-position model. The record is from RNAcentral.
UACGGAGGGGGCUAGCGUUGUUCGGAAUUACUGGGCGUAAAGCGCGCGUAGGCGGAUCUGCACGUCGGGGGUGAAAUCCCGAGGCUCAACCUCGGAACUGCCUUCGAUACUGCGGGUCUCGAGUCCGGGAGAGGUGAGUGGAAUUCCUAGUGUAGAGGUGAAAUUCGUAGAUAUUAGGAAGAACACCAGUGGCGAAGGCGGCUCACUGGCCCGGUACUGACGCUGAGGCGCGAAAGCGUGGGGAGCAAACAGG